GCCGGGAUGGCGGAAUAGGCAGACGCAGCGGACUUAAAAUCCGCCGACUUAGGUCAUGUGGGUUCGAUCCCCUCUCCCGGCACCA
RNAcentral lists this transfer RNA (85 nucleotides) under Dehalococcoidia bacterium. RNAcentral describes it as "tRNA-Leu". It matches the Rfam family "tRNA". Rfam says of the family: Transfer RNA (tRNA) molecules are approximately 80 nucleotides in length. The record is from RNAcentral. Lineage: Bacteria; Bacillati; Chloroflexota; Dehalococcoidia.